RNAcentral lists this transfer RNA (89 nucleotides) under Ignavibacteriales bacterium. Its description in RNAcentral is "tRNA-Ser". It matches the Rfam family "tRNA". From Rfam's summary of the family: Transfer RNA (tRNA) molecules are approximately 80 nucleotides in length. Their secondary structure includes four short double-helical elements and three loops (D, anti-codon, and T loops). The record is from RNAcentral. Lineage: Bacteria; Pseudomonadati; Ignavibacteriota; Ignavibacteria; Ignavibacteriales.
GGAAAGGUGGCAGAGUGGUUGAAUGCGGCGGUCUCGAAAACCGUUGUUCCGGUUUCCCGGAACCGGGGGUUCGAAUCCCCCCCUUUCCG